UACGUAGGGGGCAAGCGUUGUCCGGAAUCAUUGGGCGUAAAGCGCGUGUAGGCGGCUUGGCAAGUCCGGUGUGAAAGCUCGAGGCUCAACCUCGAGUCUGCAUCGGAAACUGCCUUGCUAGAGUCCGGAAGAGGAGACUGGAAUUCCUGGUGUAGCGGUGAAAUGCGCAGAUAUCAGGAAGAACACCGGUGGCGAAGGCGGGUCUCUGGGACGGUACUGACGCUGAGACGCGAAAGCGUGGGGAGCAAACAGG
RNAcentral lists this ribosomal RNA (253 nucleotides) under uncultured bacterium. RNAcentral describes it as "partial 16S ribosomal RNA". It matches the Rfam family "Bacterial small subunit ribosomal RNA", at positions 524 to 776 of the family's 1533-position model. The record is from RNAcentral.